UGAGCUAGAAAAGUCUUCCUCAGGUCCAGU
This 30-nucleotide non-coding RNA is filed under the name Rattus norvegicus (Norway rat). The record is from RNAcentral. Lineage: Eukaryota; Metazoa; Chordata; Mammalia; Rodentia; Muridae.